This 253-nucleotide ribosomal RNA is filed under the name uncultured bacterium. RNAcentral describes it as "partial 16S ribosomal RNA". It matches the Rfam family "Bacterial small subunit ribosomal RNA", at positions 524 to 776 of the family's 1533-position model. The record is from RNAcentral.
UACGUAUGGUGCAAGCGUUAUCCGGAUUUACUGGGCGUAAAGGGAGCGCAGGCGGUGCGCCAAGUCUGAUGUGAAACCCCGGGGCUCAACCCCGGGCAUGCAUUGGAAACUGGCGGGCUGGAGUGCCGGAGAGGUAAGCGGAAUUCCUAGUGUAGCGGUGAAAUGCGUAGAUAUUAGGAGGAACACCGGUGGCGAAAGCGGCUCUCUGGCCUGUAACUGACACUGAGGCUCGAAAGCAUGGGGAGCAAACAGG